UACGUAGGAGACGAGCGUUGUCCGGAGUUACUGGGCGUAAAGGGUGCGCAGGUGGCGGCGCGCGUGGGGGGUGAAAUCGCCCGGCUUAACUGGGCGGGGGCCUUCCAGACGGCGUGGCUUGAGCAGCGGAGGGGGACGUGGAAUUCCGGGUGGAGCGGUGAAAUGCGUAGAUAUUGGGAGGAACACCAGUGGCGAAGGCGGCUCACUGGACCGGAACUGACGCUGAGGCGCGAAAGCGUGGGGAGCAAACGGG
Molecule: ribosomal RNA, 253 nt
Filed under: uncultured bacterium
Lineage: Bacteria
Description: partial 16S ribosomal RNA
Rfam family: Bacterial small subunit ribosomal RNA
Source: RNAcentral